Molecule: transfer RNA, 63 nt
Filed under: Botrylloides nigrum
Lineage: Eukaryota; Metazoa; Chordata; Ascidiacea; Stolidobranchia; Styelidae
Description: transfer RNA-Ile
Source: RNAcentral
UGUGAUAUGCCAGAUAAAUGGGAUAUGUUGAUAACAUUUUUAUGUGUAUUUUCACUGUCACAU